Molecule: long non-coding RNA, 1005 nt
Filed under: Anser brachyrhynchus (Pink-footed goose)
Lineage: Eukaryota; Metazoa; Chordata; Aves; Anseriformes; Anatidae
Description: lncRNA (ENSABRG00000002804.1)
Source: RNAcentral
UUUCAAGGAGAUCUUUGAGAAGAAAAUCUUCUUUCAGAGAAGAUCUUUGCAUUAUCAGGGGGUGAGGAAAAGUAGCAUUGUAAGCUUUACCACAAAGCAGAGUUCAAUACACUAUGUUGAGGCUUUUUGCUGGGAACAGGGUGUGUGCGGGCUGAAAAGCACUGAGGAGGAACUGAGGCCAUGGCUGAUCCAGGAGGGUGCCCAGAGCAGCUCUGCAGGCGAGGUUAGUGCCUUCGCUUCUCUGUCAUCACCAGUCCCUGAGAGCAAUCACCACCCACCAACAGUUCCUCAAGAUAAGACUGAGCCAGCUGGGAGAAGAAAGCCUUUGAUAUUUCGCUGCCUCGCUGACUCACGUCUCAGAGUGGACCAGCAGAGGUGACUGGGCAUAUAAGAAUAACACUGGACAGAAGGCUGGUACAGCAUCAAAGACCAUCUGUGCUGAUGGGUGGAGGUGCACAGGCCUCUGCUGGCCAGGACAGCAGCAUCAGUCCAGCACCAGAUGAGCACAUCUUCACUGCUUGGAUAGAGACUGGACCAACCCUUGAUUUGUGGAAAUGGUCCUCUCCUGCUUCAUCGUGAGGUAAAUUGUCUGGUGGCUAACGGGCUAUGAGUGUGUGGUGGAGGAAAUGAGAAGGCCUUCAAACCUCCAGGGCUAAUGAUCUCACACCCUCAGAGAUACAGUACCACUCAACCUGUUCUCAGGCAAGUGACAGUAUCUCAGUGUCCCUCUCGGAGGUCCCCAGCUGCCGUGCCUCACGCACUAAAAAGCCUGACAGGUAAUCCAGUCGGUGUGAAGAGGGCUGCAGGUAGGUAGCCAUCAGGAGAGCAUGAAGGCCGCAGUUGUUUCCAGAGCCUGAGGAGUAGCAAGAGGUCCCUGCUCAGACCUAAGCAAGAACGAGCACAGUUAUACUGGCCUAGCGGUUAUGAUUUAAGGUAGUUUUAGUGAUUAACUGCAAAAGUAGGAUAAACAGCACUGUACAGUAAAUAAACUCUUUCUGUUAGACA